This 274-nucleotide unclassified non-coding RNA is filed under the name Hevea brasiliensis (rubber tree). The record is from RNAcentral. Lineage: Eukaryota; Viridiplantae; Streptophyta; Magnoliopsida; Malpighiales; Euphorbiaceae.
UUACUCAGAAUUCUCAGUUUUUGUGGCAGGUAAUGAUGCCUUAAAACCAAGAUGGCUUGUGGAUUAUCUUAAAAGAAUUUCUGAAAAGCGGAGAAAUGAAUUUCGCCAAAAAAUGGCCAAGGUUCAGCCAAUGUUAGAGUAUGAUAAUGGCCAUCCUGGCGGUAUUGGACCGGUUCCUCCAGAUGGUGCAGUGAAUCACAUAUGGAGGAAGGUCCAGCAAAAAUUGCCCAUGAUUAAGGAAACCAUUGUUAGAGAUAAGAGAAAACCUGCAGGA